AGGAGACUUAUAGUUCGAGAAUAUGUUAAAAUUAUUUAUUGCAUUAGAUGUAUGAAUUGAAAGAAUUAUUCAAUUUUACACUAAACGCCGGGACUACCCGGGGGAGUAUAAAAUUUAAUAAGUUCUUUGCAAUCAUGAUGGUUGAACUCAACUAUGCCAAUAGGAACAACCUGACUACCAGGGGACUAUUUGACAUAGAGCUAUUUAAGGAAAUUGUAUGGGGAUACAAUUGGUAAGAGUACCUACCUUUAAAAUAUAAGUGAGAAAUCUAUUUAAGGAAAUUGUAUGAGGAUACAAUUGGUAAGAGUACCUACCUUUAAAAUAUA
This 326-nucleotide long non-coding RNA is filed under the name Nicotiana benthamiana. RNAcentral describes it as "long non-coding RNA (NBEN_LNC037481)". Lineage: Eukaryota; Viridiplantae; Streptophyta; Magnoliopsida; Solanales; Solanaceae. The record is from RNAcentral.